CAAUAGCGUAUAUUAAAGUUGUUGCAGUUAAAAAGCUCGUAGUUGGAUUUCUGGUAGGAGCGACCGUGCCGAACUUGAUUGUUCGAGUAUUGUGUUGUCUUCAGCCAUCCUCGUGGAGAACUUUUCUAACAUUAACUUGUUGGGAUUGGGACCCGCGUCGUUUACUGUGAAAAAAUUAGAGUGUUUAAAGCAGGCAUUAGCUUGAAUACAUUAGCAUGGAAUAAUAAGAUAGGACUUUGGUACUAUUUUGUUGGUUUGCAUACCAAAUUAAUGACCAACAGGAACAGUUUGAGGUUAUUCGUAUGAACAUGUCAGAGGUGAAAUUCUUGGAUUUUGAUCAGACGAACUACUGCGAAAGCAUUUAUCAAGGAUGUUUUCAUUAA
This 383-nucleotide ribosomal RNA is filed under the name uncultured eukaryote. Its description in RNAcentral is "partial 18S ribosomal RNA". It matches the Rfam family "Eukaryotic small subunit ribosomal RNA", at positions 592 to 976 of the family's 1831-position model. The record is from RNAcentral.